RNAcentral lists this long non-coding RNA (1301 nucleotides) under Setaria italica (foxtail millet). RNAcentral's name for it is "long non-coding RNA (SITA_LNC007269)". The record is from RNAcentral. Lineage: Eukaryota; Viridiplantae; Streptophyta; Magnoliopsida; Poales; Poaceae.
AAUAACAAUAAAGCUUGGCAGCUUCAGACCAUGGGAAAUCAUGAGGAUGAUGAGUUGCCGUACUGCCAUGGGUUGAACUUGAUGGAAGUGACAUCUGUCUCGUCACCGACACUGGAGCCAUCGAUGGCAGCCCGGUGCUCAGUAUAUUUGCCAUUGUAUUCAUAAAUCUCCAACUCACCCCAGGGAGUAGGGGCGACUACAUCCGUCAAGUUAAACCAUCUGGGUGUAAAUUGCUCACCCUUGGCCUCACGAGUUCUUUUCUCAGCUCUCUGUUGUUCCUCCAGCCUGAAAAGUUUGGAGAAACUCAGGUGUAAGGACAAAACUAGAAGGCAGGCACCAUGCUCAAAAUUACAGCAUCAAAUAAAAUGGGCGUACAAACGAGUGGUCUGAAUUCAAGAAAAAGGGGCAGUACCUGCUCUUUUCUGCGCCAGACUUCGACAUGUCACCCUUCUCGAGCGCGUAUCGGUCAGGCCUCAACCGGGAAUCAGAUGGCAACAGCUUCUUAGGAGCAGUGUCAAAGCUAUUUAUUUUGUGAGCAAAGUGUGUGUACUGGUACUUGUCAUUCUGUGGGGUUGGAGCAAUCCUCCAGAUCUGCAGUACGUUUAAUGUAUGAGCAGUUAAGUGGAUCUGACAUCCGCAAAUAUGGGACUGGCAUUGCAUGAAUAUAGCAGAAGUCCUAACUAGAAAUGAUAAGUGAAAGAAACUACCUCCUUCAGCUCAGUGCCUGGAAUAGGUUCGCCCUCUUGAUCACAUGGUUGGCAGCUCAUAAACGUAUUCCAUUUCCCUGUAAUCAUUAUUUUGGGUUCUUCCUCUGCACUGUACACAUACCCAUCCACCUCAUACCGGCCAGCCCUGAAAUGUACAGUCUGUUGAGACAAACCCUUGGCAAAACAAAAUUGAAAGAACUGACCCCACCCUCGAAACGAACUGUAGACAAAAAGUAGUAUAAUACUAAAACUGAAUAAUUGGCAACAUGAACUGUCAAUUACUGAUGCAACAAGAAAUUGAUGGCCAAGAUCAUACCCGAACCAGCCGCAUGGCUGGAAAUAUAGCACAGCUUUGUCUCCAGUUGUCAGGUUUGUCAUGACCAUCUCUCCAGGUGAGUCAACCCAUGUGCGCCCAAAUAUCAGGUUGUUAACCUUUGUUGGUGGUGGCACCAAAUCCAAAACGACACCAGAUUUUUUAAGUGUCACUCUAGUCCUGUGAUAUGGAAGUAUAUAACAGGGGUUAAAUUUAGUGAUUUCAAUAACUGGUUCCAAUGCAACCUUCAGAAAGAUUUGCAGUUCAUUAUCAACUCAGCA